GGACCCGCACAAGCGGUGGAUCAUGUGGUUUAAUUCGAAGAUACGCGAAGAACCUUACCGGCCCUUGACAUACCAAUCGCGGACUUAAGAGAUUAAGUUUUUCACUUCGGGUGGAUUGGAUACAGGUGCUGCAUGGCUGUCGUCAGCUCGUGUCGUGAGAUGUUGGGUUAAGUCCCGCAACGAGCGCAACCCUUACCUUCAAUUGCCAGCACAUUAUGGUGGGAACUUUGAAGGAACUGCCGGUGAUAAGCCGGAGGAAGGUGGGGAUGACGUCAAGUCCUCAUGGCCCUUACGGGCCGGGCUACACACGUGAUACAAUGGUAACUACAAAGGGCAGCGAAGGAGCGAUCUGGAGCAAAUCUCAAAAAGUUACCUCAGUUCGGAUUGCACUCUGCAACUCGAGUGCAUGAAGUUGGAAUCGCUAGUAAUCGUAGAU
Molecule: ribosomal RNA, 436 nt
Filed under: uncultured bacterium
Lineage: Bacteria
Description: bacterial SSU rRNA
Rfam family: Bacterial small subunit ribosomal RNA
Source: RNAcentral